Oreochromis aureus is the source of this 391-nucleotide long non-coding RNA. NCBI's taxonomy places the organism in Eukaryota, Metazoa, Chordata, Actinopteri, Cichliformes, Cichlidae. The record is from Ensembl.
GUGCUUAGUUAUGACAAGCGUGCGGACAUAUAAGUGUCUUUAUCCCUGACAAGGAAAGGGAAAUUGAGGGAAACUGAAAUAGAAAAAUAGGACAGAUGCUCACAGAGAGUGAAAAACUUGAGCUGUAAAGAAGGCCAAGUGUACCAAACAGAGCGCAACCCAGGAGUGAUUGAAUGAUCCCAUUCUGGCCUCUUUGUUAGACACUAGGCAGCGAUGUAUGAAGAUUGAUACACAAGUGCUUGACUCGGUUUGCUGGAUCAUCAAACGGAUUGAUAUUAUACUCCAGCCAAGGAUGAAGACAAAACCCUUAAAACGAUGAAGAAUGAGACGGAGCUGACCACAGAUGGAAGCGAUUGGUCCAACAGAGGGGGAGAAGGAUAACGAAGUGAGG